AAGUCGUAACAAGGUUUCCGUAGUGAACCUCAUUAACACGUAUCCAACGCUAAACAACCCUGUGAACCUUCAGACAGUUCUUCUAGCCCACUCGGAACAGCAAUCCCGGUAAAUCAAGUGGCAAAGUUUUUUUGAUUCGGGACCUCUGUCCGAGUAUCAAGUUAGAAUCCGAACUUCGGCAGUGGCAUGGUUCUACGCGUGCAGAAGGAUCCACUGAUAAGGAUGACGCCUCACGGUUGCUAGCGGUCGAUCACCGACCAGCAGAUUCGUUCACACCUUGCCUAUUUAAGCCCCGCGGAAACGCCAGGGCUCAAAACCGAACUGUUAACAAUGGAUAUCUUGGUUCUC
RNAcentral lists this unclassified non-coding RNA (348 nucleotides) under fungal sp. Its description in RNAcentral is "partial internal transcribed spacer region". Lineage: Eukaryota; Fungi. The record is from RNAcentral.